RNAcentral lists this ribosomal RNA (1329 nucleotides) under human gut metagenome. RNAcentral's name for it is "bacterial LSU rRNA". It matches the Rfam family "Bacterial large subunit ribosomal RNA", at positions 1106 to 2518 of the family's 2925-position model. The record is from RNAcentral.
UCAGAAGCAGCCACUCAUUUAAAGAGUGCGUAAUAGCUCACUGGUCGAGCGUCUUUGCGCGGAGAAUUUAACGGGGCUAAACCUGACACCGAAGCUUAGGCAAUACAGCAAUGUAUUGGGUAGGGGAGCGUUGUAUACGCGGUGAAACAGUAGCGCAAGCGGCUGUGGAGUGUAUAGAAGUGAGAAUGCCGGAAUGAGUAGCGCGAAUGCAGUGAGAAUCUGCAUGGCCGAAAGCCUCAGGUUUCUGGAGGAAGGUUCGUCCGCUCCAGGUUAGUCGGGAGCUAAGGUGAGGCCUAACGGCGUAGCCGAUGCACAGACGGUAGAGAUUCCGUCACCACCAAAAGAGUUAAACACAGGGACACAUUUGAAGUCUCGGAGCCGGGUGUUGGUUCCGGUAGCGAUCGAGGGAAAUUAGUACCGAAGUCCGGGAUGGAAGAUGGCGAGAAAAGCUGUGUGUAUUUCUGCGGUGCCCGUACCGCAAACCGACACAGGUAGGUAGGAAGAAGAUUCUAAGGCCAACGGGAGAAGGGUUGUUAAGGAACUCGGCAAAUUGACCCCGUAACUUCGGGAGAAGGGGUGCUCCAGAGAUGGAGCCGCAGAGAAUCGGCCCAAGCAACUGUUUACCAAAAACACAGGUUUGUGCUAAAUCGAAAGAUGACGUAUACGAGCUGACGCCUGCCCGGUGCUGGAAGGUUAAGAGGAGAUGUGCAAGCAUUGAAUCGAAGCCCCAGUGAACGGCGGCCGUAACUAUAACGGUCCUAAGGUAGCGAAAUUCCUUGUCAGGUAAGUUCUGACCCGCAUGAAAGGCGUAAUGAUUUGGGCACUGUCUCGACAGCCCGCCCGGCGAAAUUGUAGUACCGGUGAAGAUGCCGGUUACCCGCGACAAGACGGAAAGACCCCAUGGAGCUUUACUGUAGCCUAAUAUUGGGUUUCGAUGUUGCAUGCACAGGAUAGAUGGGACACUGGGAAGCAAGUGCUUUGGCAUUUGUGGAGUGGCCGUUGGGAUACCAUCCUUGCGAUAUUGGAAUUCUAACCUGCGCCUUUGAAUCAAGGCGGGGGACAUUGUUAGGUGGGCAGUUUGACUGGGGCGGUCGCCUCCUAAAGAGUAACGGAGGCGUUCAAAGGUUCGCUCAGCUUGAACGGAAAUCAAGCAAAAGAGUGCAAACGCAGAAGCGAGCCUAACUGCGAGACUGACGGGUCGAGCAGUAACGAAAGUUGGAGUUAGUGAUCCGGUGGUAUGUGAGUGGAAAUGCCAUCGCUCAACGGAUAAAAGUUACCCUGGGGAUAACAGGCUGAUCUCCCCCAAGAGUCCACAUCGACGGGGAGGUU